AGGAAAUGUAACAACAACGGACGUAGGUGUUGUAGCAAUAUGAGAUGUCGACGAAAUAGAUGCGAGAGAAGAAAUGGCGGAAAUGGCGGUAUUAUUGGGUGUAUCAGACGAGGUGAACGGUGUACACAAAACGGGAUCAGAAGGUGUUGCAAUGGACGUUGUCGACAGUAUGGUCUAUACAGCAAAUGCAACUAGUUUUCCAAAAAUGUCACGUGACUGACCAAACGAAAAGCUGAACGCAGACACGAGCGAACUUCAUUCUGUUCUUCAAAAAUCAGUGUAGAAGGAAAUUCGUCAUGAAUCUUUUAAUGCAAAUAAAUGAUUAGCAGAUUUA
Long non-coding RNA from Gigantopelta aegis, 334 nucleotides. RefSeq lists it as uncharacterized. The transcript has 2 exons. NCBI's taxonomy places the organism in Eukaryota, Metazoa, Mollusca, Gastropoda, Neomphalida, Peltospiridae. The record is from RefSeq and is a predicted model, not a curated record.